Danio rerio (zebrafish) is the source of this 2795-nucleotide non-coding RNA. NCBI's taxonomy places the organism in Eukaryota, Metazoa, Chordata, Actinopteri, Cypriniformes, Danionidae. The record is from Ensembl.
GUGAGCACAGAGCAUAAGGGAAGAUGCUUGCUGAAACGGGUCACACAGAGGAAUGGGUGUGUGAUGCAGGAUGUCAGCAGAGCAACGUGUUCGCAUAUCUUCACCUCCCUUCCCCCAGCUUCUUUUCUUCUAACGAUCAGAACAGCACGGCAGCAGAAAAGGACAAAGCUCCACACAGAAUUAAACCGCUGCAUGGCAAGAGGAAAGACAUUCUGCAAGAAAUAGAGCUGGACCACUCUCUGAACAAUAAGUCAGCCCUGAAAUGUUUUUGCGUUGUGCAUCGUUAUCAUGUCUGACUCAUUUUUCGACAUGGGAGAGGCAGUUAGAGGUCUAAGAAACUGAAAUUACGAAUACAGAAACACCAAAAGGAAUGGCAAAUCACUGAAUUGCUUAAAACAUUACGUGUGACAUCUGCAGAAAGGCUAGCUGCUAAGCAGACGGAUAUAAAGCAGAGGAGUGGCAAAUCAUUGGAGAAGAAAGAUGUUGGAAUGGCAGGAGCUAGCUCCAAUGGUUUAGUGAUAAAGCAGCACAAAGCAUGCAUCUACAAAGAGACUGCUGGAGCAGACGAUGAGCAACAGUUUUAUUCAGACCAAGCGAAAGGACCUUACAUAUCUGGACUUCCAAAGAGGUAAACAAAUCAAAUCAGAAAUCCAAAGUAAUGAGGCGAUGGAAGCGGCGGCACAGAUACUGCAGUCUUGCUCUUUUCCUCAUGGUCCUAGUAUUUGUAGGAGGCCUGAUUAUGCAGGGUCACUGGUGGUCCGGUCAAACAAACCAAGAAAAGCUUGCAUCUCAAGGGCCCCAAACUAUGAAAGUCUUCAACUACACCAUGAUGAACCAAAACAAAUUGAGAGAGCCUGAAGAGUCUAGCACACCACUAAUAUCAAGUGAAAAUGUCAUUUCAGCUUUGGAUAAAAGUUUAAUGCAGGACUUUAAAAACUCAAACAUCAGUUCAAGUGGAGAGAUGAGAGCAGAGAGGAUACUUAAAGAUGAGCCUUACAAGUACAUCCACAAUGAGCCAAAUGCAUGUCUGCUGCGGGCUCCUUUCUUAGUGCUUUUGAUCGCUGUUGAGCCCAAGAAAUCAGACGCCAGGGAUGCUAUCAGGAAAACCUGGGGCAAUGAAAGUUUGGCUGGGGAAUUAGGUGUAAUCCGUCUGUUCCUCAUAGGGGUCAACAAAGACACCCAGAGCAAUGGAGGAAAACUACAGCUUUCGAUAGAAGAUGAAAGCCGACAACAUCAUGACAUCAUCCAGCAAGAUUACAGGGAUUCUUACAAAAACCUUACCUUAAAGACUCUAAUGGGAAUGUACUGGAUCACAAAGUAUUGUCCAGAGGCCAUGUACGUCAUGAAGACUGACAGCGAUAUGUUUGUCAACACUGAAUACCUCAUACAUCAAAUCUUGAAACCCAACGGACAAGAACGGAAGUAUUUUACAGGAUAUCUAAUGAUGGACUUCUCCCCAAACCGCAACAUUCGCAGCAAGUGGUAUAUGCCACCUGAACUGUACCCGGAUAGGCGAUACCCCAACUUUUGCUCUGGGACAGGGUAUGUCUUUUCAGGUGAUAUGGCUCAGAGAAUAUAUGUGGCCUCCCUGAGCAUACCCAGGUUGCAUUUAGAAGACGUUUAUGUGGGCAUCUGUCUGGCUAAAUUAGGAAUAAAGCCAGUACCUCAAACAAACAAAAAGGUGUUCAAUCACUGGCGAGUGUCCUACUCCAGCUGCAAAUACAGCAACCUGGUCACCUCGCAUGGGUUUCACCCCAAUGAGCUAAUCCAGUAUUGGAAGCAUCUCCAGAACAAUAAGCACAAUCCUUGCCAGAGAAAAGGGUAGAAGGUUCAAACUGAUUCAGUCUUCUUUUUGAUGACUACUUUUUUGCCUAAUAGAAAAAACUAAAGGGAUUCUUUUAGGAGUUGUUGGGUGCUUUCACACUAGCACUUUUGGUCUGCAGCCAGAUUCGCUUGAAAUCCAAGUACGGUACGUUUAGCUAGUGUGAACGUGUCUUCUGAACUUGGGUGCGCACCUGUGAACCGUACUGGAGUCCGCCUGAAAGAGAUGGUCUGGGGAACGAUUCGUGCAAACUUUGGUACAUUUCACUUUUGAUAUGAAUACAAUCGUACUAAUUAACGUAACUGAAUCGCCAACUGUACAACACACUUUAGUCUUUAUAUCGUUCAGUUGUUUGUGCAUGUUUGUGUACCCCCUACCUUUGUGAUAAGCGAGACUGACCCAGUGCAAACAGCAAUAAUGUCUGCUUGUCACCACCAAAAACGACUUUUGCUGACAUAGCUGUGAUAUUCUGAAUGUUUUAUAGGUUUUUACGGCAGAUAGAUGAGAGUAGCUCUCUGUAUUUUGGUUCUGGUCACAAAAGCAAAAGAAUCAGUAAAAGUAGAAUGAUAUGUGGACCUCUCCAUUUUGUUGCUUUGCUUUUGUGGCAGUCACGUAGCAACAGCUGUACACAAAACAUCAGCUUAAUGACGCAAGCGUACUGGGGACAAUCGAACUCAGGCAAGUGAACCAAGUGUGAAAGCACCUUUACACACCAAACUCCAAAGAGCGUAAAUCUUUAUACCAGUUAGCAUGUUUUCUGAACUCACUCAAACACCUUGAAUUUUGUCCAGAAUUAUCUUUCGGGAAUGUAUGUGUCAUAAGAUUGUGAUCGGUUCCCCAAUUGUUUGCACAAAGAAAAAAAAGUGAACUUGUGUUAUUUAUGUUGGUUUGACAUGAUCUUGUGUUUUUUUGACAGUUCUUGAGAGAGAACUUAAUGUAAUACUCAAAUGAGAAUUAAAGAUAUGCACAUGCU